GUUCUUUCACAAAGCAACUGUAACUUUACAACUGUCUUAAGUCUGUGUUCAAAGUACCGGGGUUUCAAUUGUCUUCGAGCUGGGAUUGCUGUGUGGUACAGGGCCUUCUUUAUUGCUUAAGGCAAGACUUUGAAUGCCCUUUCUAACAAUAUGGGGACUGCUUCGUGACAUUGGCUAAAGAGUUGUAUAACUGUCAGUUGGAUGGAAAUAUCUUACAUACUGGACACAUCAAAAGAUUUUGUCACCUUAAAUGUAAUUUUUACUUUAACUUUAAUAAGUUAAAGUUUCGGUUACUCAACCACAAAUUUUUGAUUUGGCUAAGGGCCUGUUUCCUGAUGUGAUCGUAGGACUAUCUUGACUCCUGUGCUAUAACAUAGACUUACAACCGCCAUAGAGCUACGAUUGCUUUGUAAAAUGGGUCUGUAGUAAUGGACCUGUCAGUCCACAGAUAUGUGGGAGGCAGGCACUGGCAGCUGUUUACAGCAGCUUCCAGAACAGGUUCUUUCAUAAUUGUCUUAAUGUGCAGUUAUAUGUGAAUGGUUUGAUGGGUGAUGUUUUUAUCCAUUGGGGUGGACUCCACUGUUUGGACCACACUGAAUUUAUACUUUUUAACCACUUAGUAAUGAAACAUUUGAUGACAUGAUUUUAUCAUAUAAUUUUAUCAGUUUAAGAUUUUUAUGUCUCAAAAGUGAUACCUUGAUCAGAUGUUUUACGAGAUAUUACUAAAAGGAUUUACAUUGUGGAAAGAUUGUUUCUUUAGUCAAACAUUCUGACAAUAAUCCAACAAUAAUAUCUUUGGUAAAUGUGUAGAAUAUAUAGCUGUUGCCAUGACAAUGUCUUUCACAAACAGUAUGUAAAUAACCACUUUAUUCAAGACUAACAAUUUUUUUUAGCAUUUUACGACUAAAUUGUAUUUAUUGAUAUUUAAACCACCAUGAGAACAGUCUUGUAUUCAAGUCCUAAAGCAUUACAGUAUUUGACUAAACUAGCAUUACACAAACAGAAGGUGAAUCUAAAAAGGGUUACUUGGUGAAAAUAGAUUAUCAGAAUACCGUAUGUCUUCUAAUAGAUAGGUCUACGCAUCAUUAAAUUGUUGCUUGUGAAGCCUGUAAUAUAAAGUCAGCUUAACUUGGCAAAAGUUUGUCCAUAGUUUGAAAUAAGAGUAAAUAUGUAACACCUGUAAUGUCAGUGAAGUCAAAUACUGUAUUCUUUGUUCCAGUGUAGAGAACAGUCUGUUUGAAAUUGUGCAGCUUGUAUUCAUUUGCAGAUGGAUAUUAGAAUGAUCCCACCUGUGUUUUAGAUACGUUUAAACAAGGAAACGUUCCUAGUUACAUUUUUAUACAAAUGGUUGACUUUUAGUGUUUACACAUUUUAUAUGUCUAUUGUUCAUGUCUCAGCAAGAUCUGUGCUCUCCUGAAACCAAAAACUGACAAAUGCACCUUACACAAAUGUAUUACAAAGUCCAGUGACAGUACUUCAUGGGUGUGUAGACAGUGUGCCUCCUUCACCUUCAUAUACAUAUGGAUGGGUAGUUGAACCAAGUUAUGGUCUUGUACCAGUGGGGGAAACUAGCUGCUUUGACCAAUAGGUGAUGGGAUCAUCCAUAUUUGUGGGCCAUGUGCCAUUGCCUUGCAGUGAUCUAUUCUACAUAUUCCUUUGAUAUCAGGCAACUGGACGUUUGCACAGAGUACAUUCACAGAGUAGGGCUUAUUUUUAUGAGUUUUACACUGACUCAUUAUUCAAACUGAAAAUUGAUGUGGCCGUCAUCUUGCAUAUCAGUCAUGUUUUCAAUUGUGAUGGAGGGACAUUGUGUGUGGGAACCCAUGAAGUACUGGAGAUGAGGCAAGGUAUGUCCGAGAGCCCACACAGUAUGCAGGGAGGUGGGGAAGUUGGGAAGGAAAUGAUAGAUGGGAUAUGGUGAAUAUGUUUAUUGGACUGGGGUACAAUUGCCUUGGAUAGUUCAAAAAGUUUUAAAUAUUUACAGAACUCUGGGUAACAGACUGCAUAUCCUAAACUAUGUUUGGGGGUGUUGUGAUACUCUGGUAUUGGGACGUGUGGCCUGGGGGGUGUUAUGAUAGGGUUGGGUGCAGUAGGGUAUGGUUGGUGUUCCAGUAGGGUGGAUUGUGGUCUAUGAUAAGGUGGGUUCUGGUAGGGUAGGGUGGUGUUGCUGUAUGGUGGUAUUAUGGUAGGGUGGUGUUUCUGUAGGGUGGGAUGUUGUGGUCUGACGGAGUGUUAUGAUGGGGUGUGGUAGGGUAGGGUGGUGGUGUGGUAGGGUAGGGUGGUAUUACCCUAUGCUGUUGGUGGGGUGCUGCAGCAGCAUGGGAAGUUGUUUUAUGUUAGAUAUGCGUAAGCACCUCCAGACCAUUGAUGGGAAGGGGACAGAAUAUAAACAACUUUUAUGGAAUGAUCUUUAGGUACAGCGCAUGGCCAUAUUACAUACAAUUGUAAUGGCUUUGGAAUCGUGUAGAGCGAUGCCCGUUUCUAAAAUACUGCUACUCAAAAACGACACCACAUAUUGUCGUAAUAUUUUGUCACAUGAUCGACCAUGAUGUCACGUGACUCUAUUUUGAAGUCAGAGUGACAUGACACAAACAUGUUUGGCUUAAAUGCAAAACCUUUACUAAUAUAUGCCAACAGUAAUUAAGAUAUAGUUGUUUAUGCCAUAGACAUAUUGUGAGUGAUAUUUAGGUGGGAUGUUUGUCUUCCUGAGUUUUGUUCAAGAGAAACAAUAGUAGGACCAAAUGUAUGCAUACCUGGAUUCAUCAUGCAACACUAAUUUCCUUGUGUUAUUGGUGUAUUCCCAACACUAACAGAGUGUUGGUUGGGGUCAUGUUAUGUUCCGAUUGAGACUGGUAUGUCACCACUGGUUCAGAUGUUUUACCAGUAAAAGUUUACUAUUCAUAAUUUAUUUUCUUACUUAUACUGCUUAUUGAGAUUUAUUAGAAAACAUGAAAGAAUAGAAAAACAAGAGAUUGCUUAUAUGAAGUGUAUGUCUGCAUUAAUCAAUAGUUUAUUUAUUUCAUACUUGUCAGUUUGGAUUAACUGUCAAAUAGCUACCAAGUGAAGUAUUUUAAUGUUUUGAGAUGGAAUUGGUUAUACUGUACAUUUGAAAAACUACGUUCCCACUACGCAUGGAGGAUUUCCAAGGUGUGUAGUAAAAGCCUGCCUUUUCCACCUAGUGUUUUAGGGAGACCGCUCCUCAAUCUUGUAACAUUGCCACAUCUACCACUGAGUUAUAAUUGCAAUAUUGCUUACAGCGAUAUACAAGCCCAACGACUUGCUGCUGUGUGUGGCAUGGAGACUACACCACCGUGUACUGUUCUACAAUCUAAUGAUGUAUAUAUAGCCCACCUACUGCGAUGUGUCUAUGCCAGCGGUUUGUGCUGGCUAUAGACCUAGCCAAGGGUAUCCCACUGCAUAAGAGUUUAUUGAAAGUUUAUAUAGAGAUAUAUAGUAUAUUGUUGAGUAUUCAUAUUUUAACCUCAUACAGUUUUGUCAUGAUGUAAAACUUUCAUCCAAUAUUCACAGUCAUGGAGGGAGGUACUGGCCCGAUGAGAUAUAUCUGCAAAUUAUGAGAUUUUUUAAAAUAGAAAAUUGAUUUACCAAUUGUGAUGUAUUAAGCGCUGAUUUUUGCAUUAAUUGCAUGGAAUACAUUUGUAGGUCUAUAUCACAUGAUUGAUAGAGUUGUUAUCUCCAUCUUUGAACAUACUUGUCAUAUUUGUCGUGGCCACAAAUAAAAAUUGAAAGUCCUUUACAUAUCCCUCUACCAUGAAUGACCCAUUUAUAUGUCAAUCAUAAUGCUUGUAAUGGGGAUGUGGAAGCAACAGUGGCCAAUAAGUAGGUCAGGAUUGAGUCUGUAUGUAUAGUAUUUCAUAACACUGGUUGGGGGUGUGUUUGGGAGUGUUAUUUAUCAUAUAGUCUGUGUGUGGAGUAUUUUGGCAGGCCUUAUAUAAAGGGUGGUCAGGCUUUUGUGAACUAUACAUCUUUGACUGUCAUUUAUCACAGUUGUGCAGAGAGAUUCAGAAAGGGUGCUAUUAAGAAAUUAUAAGGUCUUAUAGCUCUCGUGUAUUAGAUCUCCAUUCUAUUUUGAUACACACCCUUGACCAAUCUGCCACCUGUAUCUUCACUUUGGAUGUGACAUCACCAUCUCAAACCCUCACUAAAUUCAACAACCAAUCAAAAGGACUUGAGCAAACCCUCAAUAUUUUGAUUCAAAGACGGUUACAAUGAUCUUUCAACCAGUGAAAGUUUUCAUGCAUAUCAACAUAGGGUCUGUCUUUUUGCUAUUAGAAGUUGUACAUGAGGCAAGUAUACUACUGGUGACUUGUUUUAAUCACAAAAGCACUGCGUGUUUAGUUUUUUUAGAAUUCAUCCUGGCUCAAGAUGUAAAGGCGAGUUAUUCUUAUAAGAACUGAAUUGUAAUACCAGAUUGAUCCACAAAACAAUCAAUGACAUCUUAACCUUAUGUUAGGUUAUAGGAGAAAGUAAAGUCCAAACUUUAACAUCAUUAGUUGGAAGGGGCCAUGGUUCCAUAUUAGUCAUUUGGAUUGCUGUUACAUUUUACACUUAAGGGGGAUAUUGCCAAGAUAUUUUUGCAUACAUCAUUCACCCAAAUCCGCUUGGAAACUGAAAUAAUACUUGACAGCGCUCAAUACAUCAGAUUUGGUAUUCCAUAUUCACAGUGUGCAAGAUUCUGGAAGUCGUUUGUCUGUUUCUCUAGUGAUAAGUAGUGGGCACCUCUAUUUAUAGUAUGAUUGACCUGCAUUUUCGGUGACCUUAGUGUCCCAGGGCUGUAGAGGAACGAUACACUGCAUUUAUUUCUGUAUGUAUAUUUUGUUGUCAGGAAUAUGCAUGCCUUAAUAUUCAGUUGAUGAAUUUUGUACGAUGAGUAAUCAAACCAUAUAUUCUAUCCUGUAACAGGACAGUUCUUGAUGCAUGUUCGUAGCUGAUUGGUAGUAGCAUUGUUAAUAAUCUUGUUACAGAAUCUUUUAAUUGAAUAUACGAUAUUAUAUUUUCAGAACACUUUUAUAGAUAAGAUCUAUUGACUGUUUACUUUAUGAUGAAAUAUAGUUUAAUAUUGGGAAAUGUUAUUUUCUGGAUUCACAAUCAGAAAGGUUGCAAAAUAAUCAAAAGUAGGUAAAUGUAUCCUUGAAUGAUAUAUUUUCAGGAUGCUAAAUCAUAACCUGUGUAACUAUAUUUUCUUGUUACUAAAACAUAAAUUGGUGUUCGGACAUUAAAUCUAUAUUUUGUUUAUAUAUCCUGCAGAAGAAAUCACAAACCAUACUUUAUUUUAAACAAACUGCAUGUCCUAUGUAUAUUAUGACUUGAUUGACAAAAUGACGAGAAUGCCUUCCAUGUUUUCAACAGGGAACUUAAUAUGACAAUCACAAGGUCAAGUUAAAUUGGAUCAUUGUUUUCAAAAUUCACAAAUACAGAUAUCAUGGUUAUUUAGGUUGGUGAAGAAUUGUUAUUUCUUUAACAAGUAGUAUGAAUUCUUGCGAUAUUAUUACUCAUAUUAAUAAAACAUAUAACAUAAUAAUAAUGUGUGACAAAAAUAAUAGGUUAUGUGAUCUUUAUGCAUAAUUAGAACAGUAAGUUCUGCUGAUUUGCCUGAAGUAUUACAUUUCUUUCAAUACAGAAGGCAUGGUUGCACUGAUGUGUGUCCUUAAUGAAGCUGAUGCACGUGUUCAUCAGUUGUACAGGUAAUAUUAGAUGCAUAGUCAAUAGUCCAACUAACAUUGCCAAAAUACACUUUUAAGUCUUUGAUUUUUACUCUGAUGCAUAAAAUAACCAACAAAAACAUGAUGUAUUAUUUUUAUCUUGCAAUAUAAGCUCAUAUCAUUGAAUGGAACUUUUGCAAUAGCAGUGAAAAUGUUUAGUAAAGUUCAGAACAACAUUCCUAAAAGGUUUUAUGUGAAAAUGAAUCACUCAAAGCAUACACAAGAAUCUCAGUGUCUAGGAUGAUUUUGUAGGUAUAUUGGCUUCUCAUAGAUUGGUCUCUUUUUAUGUAAUUUUAUUGGAGUGAAAGUAUCUUCAUUCAUAGAAACAGUACUUCUCAUGAUUUCAUUGUGUUUGAAUCUUGACAUAAAGAAUAUGAAAUAUU
RNAcentral lists this long non-coding RNA (6103 nucleotides) under Haliotis rubra (blacklip abalone). RNAcentral describes it as "uncharacterized LOC124267090". The record is from RNAcentral. Lineage: Eukaryota; Metazoa; Mollusca; Gastropoda; Lepetellida; Haliotidae.